Molecule: non-coding RNA, 21 nt
Filed under: Caenorhabditis elegans
Lineage: Eukaryota; Metazoa; Nematoda; Chromadorea; Rhabditida; Rhabditidae
Source: RNAcentral
UCAAGGUUUUUUUAUUGCAUU